This 466-nucleotide ribosomal RNA is filed under the name uncultured bacterium. RNAcentral describes it as "partial 16S ribosomal RNA". It matches the Rfam family "Bacterial small subunit ribosomal RNA", at positions 28 to 507 of the family's 1533-position model. The record is from RNAcentral.
GAUGAACGCUGGCGGCGUGCUUAACACAUGCAAGUCGAACGGAAAGGCCACAGCUUGCUGUGGUACUCGAGUGGCGAACGGGUGAGUAACACGUGGGUGAUCUGCCCUGUACUUCGGGAUAAGCUUGGGAAACUGGGUCUAAUACCGGAUAGGAAUCACAUGUGGGUGUGUGGUUGGAAAGCUUUUGCGGUAUGGGAUGAGCUCGCGGCCUAUCAGCUUGUUGGUGGGGUAAUGGCCUACCAAGGCGUCGACGGGUAGCCGGCCUGAGAGGGUGUACGGCCACAUUGGGACUGAGAUACGGCCCAGAUUCCUACGGGAGGCAGCAGUGGGGAAUAUUGCACAAUGGGCGCAAGCCUGAUGCAGCGACGCCGCGUGGGGGAUGACGGCCUUCGGGUUGUAAACUCCUUUCGUCAGGGACGAAGCGAAAGUGACGGUACCUGGAUAAGAAGCACCGGCUAACUACGUG